RNAcentral lists this unclassified non-coding RNA (3606 nucleotides) under Acanthaster planci (crown-of-thorns starfish). RNAcentral describes it as "uncharacterized LOC110985916, transcript variant X1". Lineage: Eukaryota; Metazoa; Echinodermata; Asteroidea; Valvatida; Acanthasteridae. The record is from RNAcentral.
CAAGCGUUUACAUAUUCACACAAUGACGAUUCGCAGCGAUCCCACACUGCACGUUUGAAUGGUUUGUCAUUAUACGAAAUUUCUAAGCUUAACCGCUACACCGAUUCGCUUUGGGGAGCAACGGUCGUCGAACUACAGGUUCCACGUUCACUCGCUUCUUUCCCUACCCGUAUGUCGUUGCUGACGGCCAUUUGUACGAGCUUUCAAUCAACAUUUUUUUCAGGACAAUCUACACCAUCAGCGCAGUGACGAUUGAGAUACGGAGAAUACGUGAGGCCAUAGUUGAGCGGACGCUGCACUACCACGAUAAACACACGCAGGAGAACUGGGUGACUCGUCAUCUCUCAACCUAAAUCAACCUGUUUUUCAUUGCUAUAUACAUUAGAUGGACAUAGCUAAGCCACUCAGAACCUGGAAUUGGACCAUGGAACCGUCACUCAUAGUCUGUUGAAAGAUGUUAAGUGAGAAUUGUGCUGGAACUUGACCUAGAGAGAUUCAGCCUUGUGGAGGAGGAUUAAGUGGACAUUUUCGUCUGAUUAUAGCACAGGGAGUUUAGGUAAAAAAAAACUCGCAUCAAUUGACGAUGUCGAUAGCCGGAAGUAUCGCAGGCGAGUCCGUGUACUAUGAAGAGCCAUACUCUGUUCCUGGGCCAUGCCGUACCUGUUGUAUGCGCUGCCCGUGUCCCAGCAUCCUUGCUUCCCUAGCCUUCUUAGGGGGCGCUGCGCUGUUCUGUCUGGCGGGAGUUCUGGCUGGCCAACAAGCAGCGGAACUCUUCCAAGGGACUUAUAUCGGCGACGAUGUGGACACAUGGAUUUCGUACAUUUCGAUAGCUUUGUACGUGGAGGUUGCUGUCAUGACGAUCUUUGCUGUGGCUCUCUUGGGUAUAUCUUGUCUGGGUACCGGGGCAGUGAGAAAAGAGUUCAUGUGGCGAUUCAGGUCACGAGCCAGAGGCAGAUGUCAGACUGCACUGUUCAUGAUAGUUGUUUACUUCUUGUUUCUGCUGUGGCUAAGUCUUAGUUUUGUCUCGCUGGUUCCCAUCAUCUUCUUCUAUAUCCAAAGACGUGGAAUGUGCUUGGCUCCUCCUCUGGAUGAGUCUGACCCUUCCGCCGAAGAGCCGUGCAUUGACCUCAAGCAGUGGAGUCUUGUUCCAGCUGAUUACAAGUGCACAAUCACUGACUGCAGAGACACAAUUUGUGGUGCCAAGCUUACGGCUUUGUGUGAUAGUAACGUUCUGCUGUGGUUUUCAUUGGCGUUCUUUGCGGCGGUCCUUGUCACGCUGUCUAUGCUCCACUUUCUGAUAAAUUUUUCGGCCAAUUUUGCGAAACUCCGAGAUCGAUUCAAGGAUGGCUUUGCCAAUCGCAAAUCAGGAGCCUACUUAGUUCGGGCCGGGUCUGUCAGGAGCAGUCGUCAUUCCAUGAGAGCAAAGAGCUCCUUACGAGCAAGCCGAAACAAUGUCUUGCGUGGAUCCCGAGGAUCUCUAAGGACAGUUAGUAACCAUGACAGCAACAAUUACGAGCUCAAUGACGCCACAAAUAAUGCAGAAACACUGCGCAUGACAGAGGCCUAUCGGAACCAGACAUUAAACGGUAGUAGGGAUGAACUGUAUGCCACGACUAAUAUGAAUCACGAUAGUCUGGGUUACGAUCGUGAGCCUGUCUCCGCCUUACAGAAUCACUAUGUAGAUCAACCUCAGCAGCCUCCACCAGCUUACGGUAGUCGGCAUGGCAUUGACCAACCAGUGCCGAGUAUCGCUGGUGCAGAGACUGGUCCUCCACCUGCCUAUGGACGCCCAAAUGCUAACGGUCGCGCACCAAGUCAUGCUAGUAGUAGCAUCAGUGGCAACGCUAGUGGGAACUUCCCAGCACAUUCUAAAAUGAACACUCUGGAUUAUAACCGAGAUAUUGACUAUAAAAGGGAUGACUUUUACCCAAGGAACAGUAAUUUCAACUUGAAGCCCACUAAUUACCAUGACAGCGACGUGUUGGAUGGCAUGGAUGCUGGUAGCGUUCACGGGAGUGUACAGCACAGCAGUGCGGGGGAUAACAGCGACGGUGUCUUUGGCAGUAGCCGAUGGGGCUAUAAUCAAUACCAUGCUGAUGAGAGAAGCCGACGCCCACUUAGCAGUUACGCUGAUCCCGAACCAGCCCCAUCUCUUGGCUCGCCUUUGUCUGACAGAGCGCCUCUUGGAGGCUUCAGUGAACAUUACAUAUGAUUGUUGGAAUGACUGACUCGUCUAACCUCGUAAAAUAGUGCGUUGAAACGUUUUUAUACGAGAAAGUAAUCCAAUGGUGUGUGUCCAAAAAUGCUGAUCAAAUCUUAUCCCUACAAAUGUAAGACUGUAAAUCUUAUGUCAUUUUAUGUUGGUAGUGACUAACCCCGGUUAAAGGAUUAACUCAUUGCAAAGGUUUGCGUAAAUGUGUGUAAUACCAGAAAAAGUUGUUGAUUGGUUUGAUAUGCAUACAAAGAUAUUGUUGAUAAAGCUUAUCCCCUAACGUGGUGUGGUCCCUAACGUGACCGUCUGACCGACUUUGAGUUUUCGCCUCUGUUGUCCUGCUAGAGCAAUUUUGCUUACCUUAAUUUCGCAAUACAUGAAAUUUCAUCAAACCCUGCUAGUUUGGCCUGAUUCUCCGUCCUUUUUAAGGGACUCCACUAUAGUUUGUUGUGCUUGGUGCAGUCGGUAGUGUCUCUUGAUCAGUAUUACUCAGUACUCAAGGCCCUCGAACCACUAAAAGAUGGAAUGCAUUUGCCAUUGACAUGUAAUUGUUUGCUACAAUUUAAACAGGUAUUUUCUUUAUUCAGCGGUUUGGUUGGUUGGUUUUCAAGUAACUUGCUUUUUUUGUUACCAGUUUCCCCCGUAGACAAAGACCGUUGCGAUAAUGACCAAAAGGCAUGAUUCAGCAUUCGUGAAAGCCAUGGACCGUUCUUCCAAUCUCCAACAAGUUCAAAAUGGGUCCUGUGUGCCGUCAUUGAGUUUAGAUUUGAAGCAGUAGUCAGGGCAACCUCUUUACUGUACAUGUCUUUUUAAAGAAAGUUUACAACCACGUGUAAAUAGCUUCAAAUUGUUUGGACCAAAGGAUAGAUUAUGUAUAUAUUUUUGUAUCUUAUUUGCGCAAGUAAUGUUUGUAUUCACUUGAAGAUUACAAUGAAUGCAGCAAUUGGGAAGAGAUUCAAACACUUCAGUAGUUUACUGUUCUGUAAAAUUGGCCUUUAAAUCAAGUUAUGUUUCCUCGGUAUGUAAUUAACAUAGUAAAGGGAUGCCGGACUUUGUAAUUUAAAUAAUUGUAUAGUGUAAGAGGACUGCAGAUUUUCGAAAGCAGAAAUUGUAAAUAUCAUAGUUUCCAAAUUGUUGGGGAAUUGUAAAUUACUUUUUCAGAGAUGUGUAAAAAGAGGAUAGAACAUCAAUAUUCAACCUCCUCUUUACAGACUGUAAAUCUUGUGAACAUCGUAAUGGUGCAUAAAUUAGAUUUUUAGUUUGAGCGUUUGGUUACACAUUUUGAGACUACUCGGAAUGUUUAAUUAGUGCUUUGAUAUGGUUUAUGUACAUGGCUAUUAGUUUGAGUUUCUAAAGUUUUGUUUUUGAAAUAAAUGCCUGACUUACAGCCGAGA